ACGGGUGAGUAAUAUAUCGGAACGUGCCCAGUAGUGGGGGAUAGCCCGGCGAAAGCCGGAUUAAUACCGCAUACGACCUAUGGGUGAAAGCGGGGGAUCGCAAGACCUCGCGCUAUUGGAGCGGCCGAUAUCAGAUUAGGUAGUUGGUGGGGUAAAAGCCUACCAAGCCGACGAUCUGUAGCUGGUCUGAGAGGACGACCAGCCACACUGGGACUGAGACACGGCCCAGACUCCUACGGGAGGCAGCAGUGGGGAAUUUUGGACAAUGGGCGCAAGCCUGAUCCAGCCAUGCCGCGUGCGGGAAGAAGGCCUUCGGGUUGUAAACCGCUUUUGUCAGGGAAGAAACGCGCUGAGCUAAUACCUCGGCGUAAUGACGGUACCUGAAGAAUAAGCACCGGCUAACUACGUGCCAGCAGCCGCGGUAAUACGUAGGGUGCAAGCGUUAAUCGGAAUUACUGGGCGUAAAGCGUGCGCAGGCGGCUUUGCAAGACAGAUGUGAAAUCCCCGGGCUUAACCUGGGAACUGCAUUUGUGACUGCAUGGCUGGAGUGCGGCAGAGGGGGAUGGAAUUCCGCGUGUAGCAGUGAAA
Molecule: ribosomal RNA, 588 nt
Filed under: uncultured bacterium
Lineage: Bacteria
Description: bacterial SSU rRNA
Rfam family: Bacterial small subunit ribosomal RNA
Source: RNAcentral